Pelobates cultripes (western spadefoot toad) is the source of this 232-nucleotide non-coding RNA. Lineage: Eukaryota; Metazoa; Chordata; Amphibia; Anura; Pelobatidae. The record is from the annotation of a GenBank genome assembly.
GUGUAGUUGUUUUGUGUUAGCUGGUUUGUGUAGUCGCCUCACGUUAGCUGGUUUGUGUGGUUGCCUCACGUUAGCUGGUUUGUGUGGUUGCCUCGUGUUAGCUGGUUUGUGUGGUUGCUUUGUGUUAGCUGGUUUGUGUGGUUGCUUUGUGUUAGCUGGUUUGUGUGGUUGCUUUGUGUUAGCUGGUUUGUGUGGUUGCUUUGUAUUAGCUGGUUUGUGUAGUUGCUUUUUU